CUACGGAGGGUGCAAGCGUUAUUCGGAAUCACUGGGCGUAAAGGGUGCGUAGGCGGUCUGAUAAGUCUGAUGUGAAAUCCUAUGGCUCAACCAUAGUACUGCAUUGGAAACUGUCAGACUAGAAUACUGAAGGGGCAGAUGGAAUUAGUGGUGUAGGGGUAAAAUCCGUAGAUAUCACUAGGAAUACCGAAAGCGAAAGCGAUCUGCUGGGAAGUUAUUGACGCUGAGGCACGAAAGCGUGGGGAGCAAACGGGAUUAGAAACCCUAGUAGUCC
RNAcentral lists this ribosomal RNA (274 nucleotides) under uncultured bacterium. Its description in RNAcentral is "partial 16S ribosomal RNA". It matches the Rfam family "Bacterial small subunit ribosomal RNA", at positions 523 to 796 of the family's 1533-position model. The record is from RNAcentral.